UGGGGUGUAGCCAAGUGGUAAGGCAAAGGACUUUGACUCCUUGAUCGUUGGUUCAAUCCCAGCCACCCCAGCCA
RNAcentral lists this transfer RNA (74 nucleotides) under Mycoplasmataceae bacterium. RNAcentral's name for it is "tRNA-Gln". It matches the Rfam family "tRNA". From Rfam's summary of the family: Transfer RNA (tRNA) molecules are approximately 80 nucleotides in length. The record is from RNAcentral. Lineage: Bacteria; Bacillati; Mycoplasmatota; Mollicutes; Mycoplasmatales; Mycoplasmataceae. RNAcentral also lists the same sequence under 2 other names.